CCAAACACUGAAGAUUUGAAGGACGAGAAAAUCCAUCAGCUGGAGAAGGAGAAGGCGAUCCUUGAGGAGACAGCAAAAGACCGCCCCAAAAUUCAGGAGGAAGUUCGUCUUGCAAUUGCCACGCUGAUGGAGGGCGAAAAUGCUGGAUUUGUUGUUCCUCGGGCGCGGCUUCCUCCUCAGGCAAACGGCUCCGGCGCGCAGCUUCCUCCUCAGGCAAACGGCUCCGGCGAGAUUCAGGAGGCGAACAAGAAGACUAGCUGAUGGACCGGUUCACUAGUAGUGAAUGUCAGCGUUACUAUUAGAGAUUGAGAUGAGACUAUGGAGGCUAAUAACUGAAGAACUGCCUAAUUCAUGUCAGCAUCAGGGCAGUGUACUCCGUGUGGUAAUCAGACUCUUAACACUCGUCGGUCUGCUUGUAGUACUAAUUAAGUUAUUGUAUCAGACAUUAGUGGUAUGUGUGUGGUAAUUAUCAGUCUCUAAGUUCAUCAACAAAGGGAUAUCCUCAGACAAAACACGGCAAAUUGACAUUCAGACAUUUUUAUAGACAAGUUCAGUUUAUUUC
This is a long non-coding RNA of Triticum aestivum (bread wheat), 562 nucleotides long. RefSeq lists it as uncharacterized. The record is from RefSeq and is a predicted model, not a curated record. The transcript is spliced from 3 exons. NCBI's taxonomy places the organism in Eukaryota, Viridiplantae, Streptophyta, Magnoliopsida, Poales, Poaceae.